RNAcentral lists this non-coding RNA (30 nucleotides) under Mus musculus (house mouse). Lineage: Eukaryota; Metazoa; Chordata; Mammalia; Rodentia; Muridae. The record is from RNAcentral.
UCAACUUUAAUUUCCUUAUUUGCUGUCCUC